GCUCAGAUUGAACGCUGGCGGCAUGCCUUACACAUGCAAGUCGAANGGCAGCACGGGGGCAACCCUGGUGGGGAGUGGCGACCGGUUGAGUAAUGCAUCGGAACUUGCCCGGUAGUGGGGGAUAGCCCGUCGAAAGCCGGAUUAAUACCGCAUACGCAGUGAGGUGGAAAGCGGGGGACCUUCGGGCCUCGCGCGAUCGGAGCGGCCGAUGUCGGAUUAGCUAGUNGGUGGGGUAAAGGCUUUCCAUGGUGACGAUCCGUACCUGGUCUGAGAGGACGACCAGGCACACUGGGANNGAGACAGAUCCCAGACUCCUACGGGAGANNGCANUGGGGAAUUUUGGGCGAGGGGGCCAAGCGGGAUCCANCAAUGCCGCGCAUGUGAAGAAGGCCUCCGGGUUGUAAAGCACUUUUGUCCGGAAAGAAAUNUNNNUGGNUUAA
This 440-nucleotide ribosomal RNA is filed under the name bacterium enrichment culture DGGE gel band A31. Its description in RNAcentral is "partial 16S ribosomal RNA". It matches the Rfam family "Bacterial small subunit ribosomal RNA", at positions 22 to 464 of the family's 1533-position model. The record is from RNAcentral.